GGUUUCUCUGUGUAGCCCUGGCUGUCCUGGAACUCACUCUGUAGACCAGGCUGGCCUUGAACUCACAGAGAUCCCACCUGCUUCUGUCUCCCGAGUGCUGGGAUUAAAAGCAUGUGCUACCAAUGCCUG
This 129-nucleotide microRNA precursor is filed under the name Cricetulus griseus (Chinese hamster). RNAcentral's name for it is "miRNA (ENSCGRG00001002816.1)". Lineage: Eukaryota; Metazoa; Chordata; Mammalia; Rodentia; Cricetidae. The record is from RNAcentral.